UUCCCCAACAAUCACCUUUGGCAUACUCUUCUGAAGAAAUUUUCCAGCGGAAUAGGUAGUGGUGGAUACGAGUUAAAGAAGAUUGGUGGAUCAGUUGAUAGAUACGAGUAUGGAGAAAAAAGGACUGAUUAACUUGGAACGACGUCGGAUUUGAGUUAGGGUACCUUAGUGUAUAUACCGAAAAAGUCAAGAUAAAUAUGGCUCCUCAUAUCUCGGUAUCCCCCAAUUAUAGUUGAAAGUUAAAAGACAAUUUCAAACCAAAAAUGAUAAAUACUGAAGGAAUAAAGGGGAUUUGUUACUUCAUAGUUUCAUAUUUAUAUAGCUCUUUCAAAUUCCUGAAUGUUGAAGACGAAGAUCGUUUUUGUUUUUUAGAAGUGACUAGGGUUUCAUUUUUAUUUUUUGCUAUUGAUAUUUAUUUUUUUGUUUUGAUCCAUUGCAGGUUAGAUCCGUCUAAUCAUAGAACCACCGCUUCUACGGUGUGUUCUCACAAAUGUUUGUGAUUCCAUAUGAGUUUGAUAAUAUUCAUUGUCUCUCUUCCUCACCAUGAAAAUCAUAAGAAAACUCAAGAAAUCAAUGAAAUCAGUAACUAUUGUGUUUUCUUGAUUCUUCAUUCUUUCCGUCUGCCAGAUUUCUCUUUCUAAAAAUUAAGGUAACUGAUGCUCUAAUUUUUCUGGGUCUUCUUUUAGUGGAAAUAUAUUUGUGUUUUCUUGAUGUUUAUAUGUGAUGUGUGUAACUAAUGUGUGUGUGUAUAUGUUGCUUGUAUGGAAUGGGGAUAGGUGAAAAAAUGGUAAUGGAACGGGGAUGGGUUAAACAUGGACUAUCAUCGUCUUUUUAACUAUAAAAUAACCAUUAGCGAGUUACUCUGUCUAAAAAUAAUAUGUGUGGAAGCAGCAACAAGAAUUACAAGGUACUAAAAAAAGUCCUUACUCUUUACCUAUUCAUAUAACAACUUUUGUGAGAUAACACCAGGUGAUGGACAACAUUAGAAAUUGAAAAGCAUUUGCCUCGAGAUGAAUUGUCCAAUGUACCUAAAUUGUAUGGAAGAAAAAUAUGGAGAUUCUAACAAACCGUAAGAUUCCAUUUCCGGCUAAGGAGAAAUGAUAUCUAUUGAAACUUUGGCUAGAAAAAUUAUGACCUCGAUUUGUGUAAGCCAUAGUCAUAAGAGGUAGUUAUGUUACAAGAAAUAUAAUUGUAGGAGCCUUCCUGAAUGUUGAGUUUGAAUGAACCAACCUAUGAAUUGGAAUUGCAUGGUUUGAAUGUUGAUGUUAAAUGUAAACUAUUUGUUGAAUACUCAAGCAAAAUGUAAAUCAUAUUUAUACCCUUUAUAGAUAUAAUUAUGAUCAUACAAUUAUGCAGGUUACUAAAA
Molecule: non-coding RNA, 1366 nt
Organism: Lactuca sativa (garden lettuce)
Lineage: Eukaryota; Viridiplantae; Streptophyta; Magnoliopsida; Asterales; Asteraceae
Source: RefSeq, a predicted model, not a curated record